Molecule: ribosomal RNA, 550 nt
Filed under: uncultured bacterium
Lineage: Bacteria
Description: bacterial SSU rRNA
Rfam family: Bacterial small subunit ribosomal RNA
Source: RNAcentral
UAGGGAAUCUUCCGCAAUGGACGCAAGUCUGACGGAGCAACGCCGCGUGAGUGAAGAAGGUUUUCGGAUCGUAAAACUCUGUUGUUAGAGAAGAACAAGUGCUAGAGUAACUGUUAGCGCCUUGACGGUAUCUAACCAGAAAGCCACGGCUAACUACGUGCCAGCAGCCGCGGUAAUACGUAGGUGGCAAGCGUUGUCCGGAUUUAUUGGGCGUAAAGCGAGCGCAGGCGGUUCCUUAAGUCUGAUGUGAAAGCCCCCGGCUCAACCGGGGAGGGUCAUUGGAAACUGGGGAACUUGAGUGCAGAAGAGGAGAGUGGAAUUCCAUGUGUAGCGGUGAAAUGCGUAGAUAUAUGGAGGAACACCAGUGGCGAAGGCGACUCUCUGGUCUGUAACUGACGCUGAGGCUCGAAAGCGUGGGUAGCAAACAGGAUUAGAUACUCUGGUAGUCCACGCCGUAAACGAUGAGUGCUAAGUGUUGGAGGGUUUCCGCCCUUCAGUGCUGCAGUUAACGCAUUAAGCACUCCGCCUGGGGAGUACGACCGCAAGGUUG